CCUAUCUGCCGUGGGCGCUGGAGAAUUGAGGGGGGCUGCUCCUAGUACGAGAGGACCGGAGUGGACGCAUCACUGGUGUUCGGGUUGUCAUGCCAAUGGCACUGCCCGGUAGCUAAAUGCGGAAGAGAUAAGUGCUGAAAGCAUCUAAGCACGAAACUUGCCCCGAGAUGAGUUCUCCCUGAGACUUUAAGUCUCCUGAAGGAACGUUGAAGACGACGACGUUGAUAGGCCGGGUGUGUAAGCGCAGCGAUGCGUUGAGCUAACCGGUACUAAUGAACCGUGAGGCUUAACCUUACAACGCCGAAG
This 306-nucleotide ribosomal RNA is filed under the name Klebsiella pneumoniae. RNAcentral describes it as "partial 23S ribosomal RNA". It matches the Rfam family "Bacterial large subunit ribosomal RNA", at positions 2637 to 2925 of the family's 2925-position model. The record is from RNAcentral. Lineage: Bacteria; Pseudomonadati; Pseudomonadota; Gammaproteobacteria; Enterobacterales; Enterobacteriaceae.